CCUACGGGAGGCAGCAGUGGGGAAUAUUGGGCAAUGGGCGCAAGCCUGACCCAGCAACGCCGCGUGAAGGAAGAAGGCUUUCGGGUUGUAAACUUCUUUUCUCAGGGACGAAGAAAGUGACGGUACCUGAGGAAUAAGCCACGGCUAACUACGUGCCAGCAGCCGCGGUAAUACGUAGGGGGCAAGCGUUAUCCGGAUUUACUGGGUGUAAAGGGUGCGUAGGCGGGGAAGCAAGUCAGAUGUGAAACCCACGGGCUCAACCUGGGGACUGCAUUUGAAACUGUUUUUCUUGAGUGCUGGAGAGGCAGACGGAAUUCCUAGUGGAGCGGUGAAAUGCGUAGAUAUUAGGAGGAACACCAGUGGCGAAGGCGGGCUGCUGGACAGCAACUGACGCUGAGGCGCGAAAGCGUGGGGAGCAAACAGGAUUAGAUACCCCGGUAGUC
Molecule: ribosomal RNA, 443 nt
Filed under: uncultured bacterium
Lineage: Bacteria
Description: partial 16S ribosomal RNA
Rfam family: Bacterial small subunit ribosomal RNA
Source: RNAcentral